This 457-nucleotide ribosomal RNA is filed under the name uncultured Comamonadaceae bacterium. RNAcentral describes it as "bacterial SSU rRNA". It matches the Rfam family "Bacterial small subunit ribosomal RNA", at positions 342 to 791 of the family's 1533-position model. Lineage: Bacteria; Pseudomonadati; Pseudomonadota; Betaproteobacteria; Burkholderiales; Comamonadaceae. The record is from RNAcentral.
CGGGGGGCAGCAGUGGGGAAUUUUGGACAAUGGGCGAAAGCCUGAUCCAGCCAUUCCGCGUGCAGGACGAAGGCCUUCGGGUUGUAAACUGCUUUUGUACGGAACGAAAAGGUUUCAGCUAAUACCUGGGACUCAUGACGGUACCGUAAGAAUAAGCACCGGCUAACUACGUGCCAGCAGCCGCGGUAAUACGUAGGGUGCGAGCGUUAAUCGGAAUUACUGGGCGUAAAGCGUGCGCAGGCGGUCUUGUAAGACAGAUGUGAAAUCCCCGGGCUCAACCUGGGAACUGCAUUUGUGACUGCAAGGCUAGAGUGCGGCAGAGGGGGAUGGAAUUCCGCGUGUAGCAGUGAAAUGCGUAGAUAUGCGGAGGAACACCGAUGGCGAAGGCAAUCCCCUGGGCCUGCACUGACGCUCAUGCACGAAAGCGUGGGGAGCAAACAGGAUUAGAUACCCGAGU